CUCACCGCGGGUCAUGUGACAAGAACCAACCAGUCAGCUUUAUCCUUUCCCGUAACAACAUUGAAAGCUCAGCUGAGAUGGAGGAACAGCUGAUCAUAGCUGUACAGGGAUAGCCAUUUUAAAUAAAUUUAGUAGCAGAGCGCAAGCGAUUUUUAGUGCUGGAAAUCCAUUUAUCCUUUGCUGAAACUUCCGCGUCUUCAUGGAGAGCUCGGGUCUAGUUGCUUAGCAACGGCAGACGCCACGGGAGAGCAAGUAUAGCGUGCAAGCUACAGAGCGCUUUAAAAUAAGGAGAAAGCGACGCGCCUAGCGUUUUCCACGCGUUUUUAGGCGCGACAUGUGAACGGCCCCGUGCUACUAUUUGAAUCUUCUGCUUUUUGAACACUGAAGUGUGAUAAAGUUUUUUUUUAAGCCAUCAGAAAUCUGAGGGGGCCGGAUGUGUAGGCUAAAUGAGGGGGCCUAGAAUGAAGUCAUUAUUUUCGUUUUCUUUGCGCACAAAAAAAAGUAUUCUUGUAGCUUCAUAAAAUUACUCCACAGAUCUCACAUGGGCUGUUUUAAUGAUGUCCUUACUACAUUUCUGUGCCUUGACCGUGGUAGGACCCUUGCUGUCUAUGGAGGGUCAGAAUCAGAAAGCUCUCGGAUUUCAUCAAAAUAUCUUCAUUUGUGUUCCAAAGAUGAACGAAGGUUUUACGGGUUUGGAACGACAUGAGGGUUAUCUCAUCCACACAGCCUUGAGUGCUGUCGCUAUCAAACUCAGCGGCGUGAUUGUCACAACCUUCCUCGUCAGGCGCCGGAGAAAGAGCUCGGUUCAGUGUAGGGACGGUGUUAAACAUGAUGAAACCGAUGAGGAUCACCACCAAUGACACAAUAUACAGUCCUGAGAACUGAAAAAGAACAAAUGAGUGUACCGGAACAAAAAGAGCCCACAAAACAGGCUGAAGAGGUCUCCAGUGAGUAAGGAAAGAUUGACCGCUGUGGCACUGCUCAUCUUUAUCACCACAGGCAUGAAGCUAUAGAAGCCGUACAUGCAGAGC
This is a long non-coding RNA of Onychostoma macrolepis, 1031 nucleotides long. RefSeq lists it as uncharacterized. The record is from RefSeq and is a predicted model, not a curated record. The transcript has 3 exons. Lineage: Eukaryota; Metazoa; Chordata; Actinopteri; Cypriniformes; Cyprinidae.